AAUAUUGGACAAUGGGCGAAAGCCUGAUCCAGCCAUUCCGCGUGUGUGAAGAAGGCCUUCGGAUUNUCAAGCACUUUAAGUUGGGANGAAGGGUUAUAGGUUAAUACCCAGCAAUUAUGACGGUACCAUCAGCAUAAGCACCGGCUAACUUCGUGCCAGCAGCCGCGGUAAUACGAAGGGUGCAAGCGUUAAUCGGAAUUACUGGGCGUAAAGCGCGCGUAGGUGGUACGUUAAGUUGGAAGUGAAAGCCCCGGGAUUAACCUGGGAACUGCUUUCAAAACUGGCAAGCUAGAAUAUGGCAGAGGGUGGUGGAAUUUCCUGUGUAGCGGUGAAAUGCGUAGAUAUAGGAAGGAACACCAGUGGCGAAGGCGACCACCUGGGCUAAUACUGACACUGAGGUGCGAAAGCGUGGGGAGCAAACAG
This 423-nucleotide ribosomal RNA is filed under the name uncultured bacterium. RNAcentral's name for it is "partial 16S ribosomal RNA". It matches the Rfam family "Bacterial small subunit ribosomal RNA", at positions 360 to 775 of the family's 1533-position model. The record is from RNAcentral.